GAUGAACGCUGGCGGCGUGCCUAAUACAUGCAAGUCGAGCGAACGGACGAGAAGCUUGCUUCUCUGCUGUUAGCGGCGGACGGGUGAGUAACACGUGGAUAACCUACCUAUAGGACUGGGAUAACUUCGGGAAACCGGAGCUAAUACCGGAUAAUAUUUUGAACCGCAUGGUUCAAAAGUGAAAGACGGUCUUGCUGUCGCUUAUAGAUGGAUCCGCGCUGCAUUAGCUAGUUGGUAAGGUAACGGCUUACCAAGGCAACGAUGCAUAGCCGACCUGAGAGGGUGAUCGGCCACACUGGAACUGAGACACGGUCCAGACUCCUACGGGAGGCAGCAGUAGGGAAUCUUCCGCAAUGGGCGAAAGCCUGACGGAGCAACGCCGCGUGAGUGAUGAAGGUCUUAGGAUCGUAAAACUCUGUUAUUAGGGAAGAACAUAUGUGUAAGUAACUGUGCACAUCUUGACGGUACCUAAUAAGAAAGCCACGGCUAACUACGUG
RNAcentral lists this ribosomal RNA (497 nucleotides) under uncultured bacterium. RNAcentral describes it as "partial 16S ribosomal RNA". It matches the Rfam family "Bacterial small subunit ribosomal RNA", at positions 28 to 507 of the family's 1533-position model. The record is from RNAcentral.